Molecule: long non-coding RNA, 480 nt
Organism: Patella vulgata (common limpet)
Lineage: Eukaryota; Metazoa; Mollusca; Gastropoda; Patellidae
Exons: 3
Source: RefSeq, a predicted model, not a curated record
CGGGUAGAUUUUGAAGCAUUUAUAAAAUUAUUUCUAAAUGGUUAUAUCCUCAAAAAUCAAAUGUGGUCAGACUUUCAUUCUUGAUAAAUGAAGUUUUUAUGGUUGUCCAUAGUCUGUUCAUGUGUGCUUGUAUAUUGGAUUUGAUUGGUUUGGAACUUCAUCUGCGAAAUGCACAGGGAUUAAAAUGCAGUCCACUACACACAAUCAUUAGACCACACGUUGAAUGGUCAUUUAAAAUCAUUAUUUUUAUACAGAACCUUAACAUGUCUUGACAUGUUUUAUAAAGACCCCGUGGCAUAAACUUACCAUUAAAGAAGUCAGAAUGGACGGACUUUUCAUUAGCUGCCAAGUCCAUCAAUAGAGCACUCGAUCCACCAGCCUGGAGUAGAAACAAGCCAACAGUGAGGCUCAUGUCCCCCACCGAAAUACCAAAAUAAAUAGAUAACACAUAAUUAAUUGCACAUUUAUCUUUUUCAAAAG